UGGGGAAUAUUGGACAAUGGGCGCAAGCCUGAUCCAGCAAUGCCGCGUGAGUGAUGAAGGCCUUAGGGUUGUAAAGCUCUUUCGCACGCGACGAUGAUGACGGUAGCGUGAGAAGAAGCCCCGGCUAACUUCGUGCCAGCAGCCGCGGUAAUACGAAGGGGGCUAGCGUUGUUCGGAAUUACUGGGCGUAAAGGGCGCGUAGGCGGCCUGUUUAGUCAGAAGUGAAAGCCCCGGGCUCAACCUGGGAAUAGCUUUUGAUACUGGCAGGCUUGAGUUCCGGAGAGGAUGGUGGAAUUCCCAGUGUAGAGGUNAAAUUCGUAGAUAUUGGGAAGAACACCGGUGGCGAAGGCGGCCAUCUGGACGGACACUGACGCUGAGGCGCGAAAGCGUGGGGAGCAACAGGAUUAGAUACCCUGGUAGUCCACGCCGUAAACGAUGAAUGCUAGACGUCGGGGUGCAUGCACUUCGGUGUCGCCGCUAACGCAUUAAGCAUUCCGCCUGGGGAGUACGGCCGCAAGGUUAAAACUCAAAGGAAUUGAC
Molecule: ribosomal RNA, 540 nt
Filed under: uncultured bacterium
Lineage: Bacteria
Description: partial 16S ribosomal RNA
Rfam family: Bacterial small subunit ribosomal RNA
Source: RNAcentral